AUUUAUAUAGUUUAAAUAUUAAAACAUUACAUUUUCAUUGUAAAAUUAAAAUAAUUUUUUUUUAUAAAUA
This 70-nucleotide transfer RNA is filed under the name Marumba cristata. Its description in RNAcentral is "tRNA-Glu". Lineage: Eukaryota; Metazoa; Arthropoda; Insecta; Lepidoptera; Sphingidae. The record is from RNAcentral.